RNAcentral lists this long non-coding RNA (82 nucleotides) under Mesocricetus auratus (golden hamster). Its description in RNAcentral is "X-chromosome inactivation exon 1 (ENSMAUG00000004582.1)". It matches the Rfam family "X-chromosome inactivation gene exon 1". From Rfam's summary of the family: Xist is an RNA gene on the X chromosome of the placental mammals that acts as major effector of the X inactivation process. The Xist RNA, a large (17 kb in humans) transcript, is expressed on the inactive chromosome and not on the active one. The record is from RNAcentral. Lineage: Eukaryota; Metazoa; Chordata; Mammalia; Rodentia; Cricetidae.
ACAUCAAAAUUCAACCCGAGCAUUAGCCAAGGGUUAGAUGAUCCUCUGGAGGAAAGUAGAAGUCCACCUCUGGGCCAGUGAU